CCUACGGGGGCAGCAGUAGGGAAUCUUUCACAAUGGGCGAAAGCCUGAUGGAGCAACGCCGCGUGCAGGAUGAAGGCCUUCGGGUUGUAAACUGCUUUUAUAAGCGAGAAAUAUGAUGGUAACUUAUGAAUAAGGAUCGGCUAACUACGUGCCAGCAGCCGCGGUCAUACGUAGGAUCCGAGCAUUAUCCGGAGUGACUGGGUGUAAAGAGUUGCGUAGGUGGCAUAAUAAGUAGCUAGUGAAAUCUGGUGGCUCAACCAUUCAGACUAUUAGCUAAACUGUUAAGCUCGAGACCGUGAGAGGUAACUGGAAUUUCAAGUGUAGGAGUGAAAUCCGUAGAUAUUAGAAGGAACACCGAUAGCGUAGGCAGGUUGCUGGGACGGUUCUGACACUAAGGCACGAAAGCGUAGGGAGCAAACGGGAUUAGAUACCCGAGUAGUC
RNAcentral lists this ribosomal RNA (441 nucleotides) under uncultured bacterium. RNAcentral describes it as "partial 16S ribosomal RNA". It matches the Rfam family "Bacterial small subunit ribosomal RNA", at positions 338 to 795 of the family's 1533-position model. The record is from RNAcentral.